Molecule: ribosomal RNA, 484 nt
Filed under: uncultured bacterium
Lineage: Bacteria
Description: partial 16S ribosomal RNA
Rfam family: Bacterial small subunit ribosomal RNA
Source: RNAcentral
AUUGAACGCUGGCGGCAGGCCUAACACAUGCAAGUCGAGCGGAUGAAGGGAGCUUGCUCCUGGAUUCAGCAGCGGACGGGUGAGUAAUGCCUAGGAAUCUGCCUGGUAGUGGGGGAUAACGUCCGGAAACGGGCGCUAAUACCGCAUACGUCCUGAGGGAGAAAGAGGGGGAUCUUCGGACCUCACGCUAUCAGAUGAGCCUAGGUCGGAUUAGCUAGUUGGUGGGGUAAAGGCCUACCAAGGCGACGAUCCGUAACUGGUCUGAGAGGAUGAUCAGUCACAUGGGAACUGAGACACGGUCCAGACUCCUACGGGAGGCAGCAGUGGGGAAUAUUGGACAAUGGGCGAAAGCCUGAUCCAGCCAUGCCGCGUGUGUGAAGAAGGUCUUCGGAUUGUAAAGCACUUUAAGUUGGGAGGAAGGGCAGUAAGUUAAUACCUUGCUGUUUUGACGGUACCAACAGAAUAAGCACCGGCUAACUUCGUG